AGUGAACGCUGGCGAUAGGCCUAACACAUGCAAGUCGAACGGCAGCACAGUAAGAGCUUGCUCUUACGGGUGGCGAGUGGCGGACGGGUGAGGAAUACAUCGGAAUCUACUUUUUCGUGGGGGAUAACGUAGGGAAACUUACGCUAAUACCGCAUACGACCUACGGGUGAAAGCAGGGGAUCUUCGGACCUUGCGCGAUUGAAUGAGCCGAUGUCGGAUUAGCUAGUUGGCGGGGUAAAGGCCCACCAAGGCGACGAUCCGUAGCUGGUCUGAGAGGAUGAUCGGCCACACUGGAACUGAGACACGGUCCAGACUCCUACGGGAGGCAGCAGUGGGGAAUAUUGGACAAUGGGCGCAAGCCUGAUCCAGACAUACCGCGUGGGUGAAGAAGGCCUUCGGGUUGUAAAGCCCUUUUGUUAGGAAAGAAAAGCAGCAGGUUAAUACCCCGCUGUUCUGACGGUACCCAAAGAAUAAGCACCGGCUAACUUCGUG
Molecule: ribosomal RNA, 492 nt
Filed under: uncultured bacterium
Lineage: Bacteria
Description: partial 16S ribosomal RNA
Rfam family: Bacterial small subunit ribosomal RNA
Source: RNAcentral